CACAGAGUCGGACACGACUAAAGCGACUUAGCAGCAGGUUAUGGCUGUGUCCUGGGGAGAAUCCACAGUGCCCAAGAUGAGAGACGCUGUGGCCCUUGGAACAAGAGCCAGCUUCCCCAGAACAGCUUCAGACCGGCAAGGAGAGAGAAGCAAGGAUGCCUUGAUGUCUCAGAGGUGCUUCAGUUCAGUUCAGUCACUCUGUUGUGUCUGACUCUGCCACCCCAUGGACUGCGGCGCACCAGGCUUCCCUGUCCAUCACCAACUCCCGAAGCCUACUCAAACCCAUGUCCAUUGA
Long non-coding RNA from Bubalus bubalis (water buffalo), 295 nucleotides. RefSeq lists it as uncharacterized. The record is from RefSeq and is a predicted model, not a curated record. NCBI's taxonomy places the organism in Eukaryota, Metazoa, Chordata, Mammalia, Artiodactyla, Bovidae. The transcript has 3 exons.